This 308-nucleotide ribosomal RNA is filed under the name Paenibacillus polymyxa. RNAcentral describes it as "bacterial LSU rRNA". It matches the Rfam family "Bacterial large subunit ribosomal RNA", at positions 1652 to 1955 of the family's 2925-position model. Lineage: Bacteria; Bacillati; Bacillota; Bacilli; Caryophanales; Paenibacillaceae. The record is from RNAcentral.
AACCGACACAGGUAGGCGAGAAGAGUAUUCUAAGGCGCGCGGAAGAACUCUCGUUAAGGAACUCGGCAAAAUGACCCCGUAACUUCGGGAGAAGGGGUGCCCCGGUAGUGUGAAUAGCACGAGGGGGCCGCAGUGAAAAGGCCCAAGCGACUGUUUAGCAAAAACACAGGUCUGUGCGAAGCCGUAAGGCGAAGUAUACGGGCUGACGCCUGCCCGGUGCUGGAAGGUUAAGGGGAGUGGUUAGGAGCAAUCCGAAGCUGUGAACCGAAGCCCCAGUAAACGGCGGCCGUAACUAUAACGGUCCUAAG